Molecule: ribosomal RNA, 1263 nt
Filed under: metagenome
Description: SSU rRNA
Rfam family: Eukaryotic small subunit ribosomal RNA
Source: RNAcentral
AUUCGAGGCCCCGUAAUUGGAAUGAGUACACUUCAAAUCCUUUAACGAGGAUCCAUUGGAGGGCAAGCCUGGUGCCAGCAGCCGCGGUAAUUCCAGCUCCAAUAGCGUAUAUUAAAGUUGUUGCAGUUAAAAAGCUCGUAGUUGGAUCUCGGGUCCAGGCUCGCGGUUCGCCCCGCGGCGAUCACUGCCCGUCCUGACCUACCUCCCGGUUUUCCCUUGGUGCUCUUCGUUGAGUGCUUCGGGUGGCCGGAACGUUUACUUUGAAAAAAUUAGAGUGCUCAAAGCAGGCGGACUGCCUGAAUAAUCGCGCAUGGAAUAAUGGAAUAGGACCUCGGUUCUAUUUUGUUGGUUUUCGGAACUCGAGGUAAUGAUUAAGAGGGACAGACGGGGGCAUUCGUAUUACGGUGUUAGAGGUGAAAUUCUUGGAUCGCCGUAAGACGAACUACUGCGAAAGCAUUUGCCAAGAAUGUUUUCAUUAAUCAAGAACGAAAGUCAGAGGUUCGAAGACGAUCAGAUACCGUCGUAGUUCUGACCAUAAACGAUGCCAACUGGCGAUCCGCGGGCGUUGAUCUAAUGACCCCGCGGGCAGCCUCCGGGAAACCAAAGUUUUUGGGUUCCGGGGGAAGUAUGGUUGCAAAGCUGAAACUUAAAGGAAUUGACGGAAGGGCACCACCAGGAGUGGAGCCUGCGGCUUAAUUUGACCCAACACGGGAAAACUCACCCGGCCCGGACACCGUAAGGAUUGACAGAUUGAGAGCUCUUUCUUGAUUCGGUGGGUGGUGGUGCAUGGCCGUUCUUAGUUGGUGGAGCGAUUUGUCUGGUUAAUUCCAAUAACGAACGAGACUCUAGCCUGCUAAAUAGUUCACCGAUUCACCGAGUCGGUGUUAACUUCUUAGAGGGACAAGUUGCGUUUAGCCACACGAGAUUGAGCAAUAACAGGUCUGUGAUGCCCUUAGAUGUUCGGGGCCGCACGCGCGCUACACUGAAGGAAUCAGCGUGUGUUCUCCCUGAUCCGAAAGGACCGGGUAACCCGUUGAAUCUCCUUCGUGCUAGGGAUUGUGGCUUGCAAUUGUUCCACAUGAACGAGGAAUUCCCAGUAAGCGCGAGUCAUAAGCUCGCGUUGAUUACGUCCCUGCCCUUUGUACACACCGCCCGUCGCUACUACCGAUUGGAUGGUUUAGUGAGAUCCUCGGAUUGGACCCGGCGCGGCGGGCAACCGUCGUGCCGGUGUUCCGAAAAGACGAUCAAACUUGAUCAUCUAGA